GACGAACGCUGGCGGCGUGCUUAACACAUGCAAGUCGAACGGAAAGGCCCUGCUUUUGUGGGGUGCUCGAUUGGCGAACGGGUGAGUAACACGUGAGUAACCUGCCCUUGACUUUGGGAUAACUUCAGGAAACUGGGGCUAAUACCGGAUAGGAGCUCCUGCUGCAUGGUGUGGGUUGGAAAGUUUCGGCGGUUGGGGAUGGACUCGCGGCUUAUCAGCUUGUUGGUGGGGUAGUGGCUUACCAAGGCUUUGACGGGUAGCCGGCCUGAGAGGGUGACCGGCCACAUUGGUACUGAGAGACGGACCAGACUCCUACCGGAGGCAGCAGUGGGGAAUAUUGCACAAUGGGCGGAAGCCUGAGGCAGCAACGUCGGGUGCGGGAUGACGGCCUUCGGGUUGUAAACCGCUUUCGACUGUGACGAAGCGUGAGUGACGGUAAUGGGUAAAGAAGCACCGGCUAACUACGUG
RNAcentral lists this ribosomal RNA (468 nucleotides) under uncultured bacterium. RNAcentral's name for it is "partial 16S ribosomal RNA". It matches the Rfam family "Bacterial small subunit ribosomal RNA", at positions 28 to 507 of the family's 1533-position model. The record is from RNAcentral.